This 78-nucleotide transfer RNA is filed under the name Candidatus Omnitrophota bacterium. RNAcentral describes it as "tRNA-Pro". It matches the Rfam family "tRNA". From Rfam's summary of the family: Transfer RNA (tRNA) molecules are approximately 80 nucleotides in length. The record is from RNAcentral. Lineage: Bacteria; Pseudomonadati; Candidatus Omnitrophota.
CGGGGGAUGGCUCAGUUUGGCUAGAGCGCUUGCUUUGGGAGCAAGAGGUCGAGAGUUCAAAUCUCUCUCCCCCGACCA